CGCAGCGCUUGGCGACUGUGGUGCACUCCAUGGGCAUGCGCGUCAGCGUCGGUUCUCAGCGAGUGAUGAGGUGCCGGGGGAAGGUGGCUCGCCUCUUUUGAGGGGAGUGUUAUAGACCCUGGUGCUGGGCUCGUUGUGGACCGAGGAGAGAGAUGAUCGCUGCGGCACCUGCCUCUCGGGGCUAGCCAGCUGUUGUCAGAUGUGUGUCAGGCGUUGAGGACUGCACGCAGUGCUUGGUGUCUUGGCGUGGUCUGAUGGUGGUGUGGGUAUAGAGGUGCCUAGGACGCUGGCGUCCAAAUGGCCGUGCGCGACCCGUCUUGAAACACGGACCAAGGAGUCUAACAUGUGCGCGAGUCUUAGGGUGUGCAAGCCCUCGGGCAUAAUGAAAGUGAAAGCCUAGCGUUGGUUGGGCUUAGGUGAGAGCCGCUGCUGGCCUGAUGCCACGGCGGCGCAUCAUCGGCCGGUCCAUCCUGCUCUCAGGAGGAUCCGAGCAAGAGCGUAUUUGUUGGGACCCGAAAGAUGGUGAACUAUGCCUGAAUAGGGUGAAGCCAGAGGAAACUCUGGUGGAGGCUCGUAGGGAUUCUAACGUGCAAAUUGAUCUCAAAAUUUGGGUAUAGGGGCGAAAGACUAAUCGAACCAUCUAGUAGCUGGUUCCCUCCGAAGUUUCCCUCAGGAUAGCUGGAGCUCGUUAACACAGUUUUAUCAGGUAAAGCGAAUGAUUAGAGGUCUUGGGGGUGAAACACUCUCAACCUAUUCUCAAACUUUAAAUCGGUAAGAAGCGCGACUUGCUUAAUUGAAGCCGCGCAAUCAAUGUGAGUUCCAAGUGGGCCAUUUUUGGUAAGCAGAACUGGCGAUGCGGGAUGAACCGAACGCUCGGUUAAGGUGCCAAAGUUGACGCUCAUCAGACCCCAGAAAAGGUGUUGGUUGAUAUAGACAGCAGGACGGUGGCCAUGGAAGUCGGAAUCCGCUAAGGAGUGUGUAACAACUCACCUGCCGAAUCAACUAGCCCUGAAAAUGGAUGGCGCUCAAGCGUCACACCUAUACCGGGCCGUUGUCGUAAAUGCCAGGCGACAACGAGUAGGAGGGCGUGGGGGUCGUGAUGCAGCCCUUGGCGUGAGCCUGGGUCAAACGGCCUCUAGUGCAGAUCUUGGUGGUAGUAGCAAAUAUUCAAAUGAGAGCUUUGAAGACCGAAGUGGAGAAAGGUUCCAUGUGAACAGCAGUUGGACAUGGGUUAGUCGAUCCUAAGAGAUAGGGGAACUCCGUGUCAACGUGCGCAAUCGGUCUCGUGCCGCCUUGCGCCACCUAUCGAAAGGGAAUCGGGUUAAUAUUCCCGAACCGGAAUGCAGAUAUUUUCUGGCUCUCGGGUCAGGAGCGGCAACGCUAGCGAACCGCGAGACGUCGGCGGGGGCUCCGGGAAGAGUUGUCUUUUCUUUUUAACGCAGUCGCCAUCCCUGGAAUCGGUUUGCCCGGAGAUAGGGUUGGCUGGCUCGGUAAAGCAGCACACUUCAUGUGCUGUCCGGUGCGCUCUCGACGGCCCUUGAAAAUCGCGGGGGUGUACUGAUUUU
RNAcentral lists this ribosomal RNA (1565 nucleotides) under Sycon ancora. RNAcentral describes it as "eukaryotic LSU rRNA". It matches the Rfam family "Eukaryotic large subunit ribosomal RNA", at positions 457 to 1832 of the family's 3401-position model. Lineage: Eukaryota; Metazoa; Porifera; Calcarea; Leucosolenida; Sycettidae. The record is from RNAcentral.